GAUGAACGCUGGCGGCGUGCCUAAUACAUGCAAGUCGAGCGAACGGACGAGAAGCUUGCUUUUCUGAUGUUAGCGGCGGACGGGUGAGUAACACGUGGAUAACCUACCUAUAAGACUGGGAUAACUUCGGGAAACCGGAGCUAAUACCGGAUAAUAUUUUGAACCGCAUGGUUCAAAAGUGAAAGACGGUCUUGCUGUCACUUAUAGAUGGAUCCGGGCUGCAUUAGCUAGUUGGUAAGGUAACGGCUUACCAAGGCAACGAUGCAUAGCCGACCUGAGAGGGUGAUCGGCCACACUGGAACUGAGACACGGUCCAGACUCCUACGGGAGGCAGCAGUAGGGAAUCUUCCGCAAUGGGCGAAAGCCUGACGGAGCAACGCCGCGUGAGUGAUGAAGGUCUUCGGAUCGUAAAACUCUGUUAUUAGGGAAGAACAUAUGUGUAAGUAACUGUGCACAUCUUGACGGUACCUAAUCAGAAAGCCACGGCUAACUACGUG
This 497-nucleotide ribosomal RNA is filed under the name uncultured bacterium. RNAcentral describes it as "partial 16S ribosomal RNA". It matches the Rfam family "Bacterial small subunit ribosomal RNA", at positions 28 to 507 of the family's 1533-position model. The record is from RNAcentral.